Molecule: long non-coding RNA, 1736 nt
Organism: Zingiber officinale
Lineage: Eukaryota; Viridiplantae; Streptophyta; Magnoliopsida; Zingiberales; Zingiberaceae
Exons: 2
Source: RefSeq, a predicted model, not a curated record
UUCACGCCGCGGCAGCCAUAUUGAUGUUCGUCCCCGAACCAGCUAUAAACCCUAAACUCCACACAAAUUAGGGUUUUCGAGAUCAAAUCUGGCGUCGAUUUGGUCGCAGCCGUCGUAUCUGUGAAGUCGUUCAUCGUCGACAGGUGAUUUCGUCGUUGAUCGUUUUGAUUUCUUCCCCUUCUGCUGUGAUUUUCCUACUCUGGUACGCUGUGCCUGCCCCCUGUUUAAUGCGUCUACUUUCUAUAUCUCUGUCAAUUUCUUCCUCGAAUCCAAGUCGAUUGUGUUGUCGUUUUUGAGUACUUCGGAUCGCACUCCAUUUCGAGAUCUAGGUUUUGGACGACGAUGAUGAGUCUUCAGACCUGUAAUGAUUAUUGCGGAUAUGAUCGCAUUAUCAAAGAACAUCUAAGGGACUGAGUUGCAUUAUCUCUGAUUUUUUUUUUUCAUUUUCUGGCAAUUGAGGAUAAUUUUCUAUUCCCAAUUUACUCACUGCCUCGAAGCAAUAUCAUUUGCUGCAAAGAUCACAAAUUACUUUCAACUCUUUAAGUCAAUACCAUGUGCGUUAUCAUUACGUACAUUGCCUACUCAAUUGCCCUUUAUUAGUUUUUCAUACUUUAGCAGAGAUUCAAGAUCUUAAUCCUUGCAUGUUCAUUAUGUCAUUUUCCACAAUGUUUUUUUUAUUCGCCGAAAUGUAGGUGUUCUAUGCAAUUUGCUUCACUAUCUGGUGAUUGAGGAUCAUUUCCAUUCCCAAUGCACUCGUUCCCUUGAAGCAAGAUUGUGUGUUGUACUGAUCAUGAUUUCACUUGCCAACCAACUAAGAUGGUUGGCACGACAAUGAUCGUUUACAUAAAUUUUCUUCUGUUUAUUCAAUAGUUUUCUUUGACUUUUUAGAUUGGCAAAUGAGGAUUUAUUGUUUGCAAUGGGUAAUUUGCGUCUGAGCAUGUAUUUGUGAUGUUACAUACAUAUCACCUUGGAGAUCUGAUGCCGAAAUUCAUUUUUUCUUCCUCUUGUUUCUACGCUUUUUUAUAUUUAAAAUUUUUAAAAUAUGAUUUAAAAUUUGGGUUUUCCCGAUUGGUUUGAUGGCUGAUAUGUUGGCUACAAAUGUAUUAGCUCUAUCUGAACUCUUAUCUUCCUUUUGCUAUUUAAUUCAGCUUUUGUAUACCUUCUUUGCAUUUUACUGAUGCAUCAAAAUUUGUUAUUGUAUUUUUGUUUAUCUUAUUCAAACAUGCAGUUUCCUAUCAUUUUUUUUUGUCAAAUCGGAAGAUUAUUUAUCUUCUAUGAUACUCACAAGGUAUAUGCCAACAAUAAUCUCCAGCAAAAGAUUGCUUUGGAUAAAAACAAGGCUUCUCCUAUAAUUUCAAUUUAAAGAAAGAUAUUAGGAACUGGCUUUGUUCUUGAACAUGUCACGUCUCUGUUACAACCUAUUCGUUGACGCUGCUGCCUGCUACAGACUAAUCUAUGUGGACGGCUUUGCAGCGGUGGAUAGCCAUGACGUUCUCGAACAAGACUAAGAAAAUUAUCAUUUUUUUUUUUUGUACCAAUAACGCUAGACCUCUAACAACUGCCCAUCGAGCAUAGAAUACUUUAAAUGCUCAUUCAACAUCUUUUUUUUGUAAUAUUUUGUCUUUCCUUGAACAAUCUCUUCUUAGGAUCUUCCGGAUAAGGAAAAGUCUUCACGAAAAUAGCUUAUUCUGGAUGUAUUUCAUCUGUUAGAUAAUAUUCAUUUGUAUAUUGGGUCU